RNAcentral lists this long non-coding RNA (276 nucleotides) under Ananas comosus (pineapple). RNAcentral's name for it is "long non-coding RNA (ACOM_LNC025922)". Lineage: Eukaryota; Viridiplantae; Streptophyta; Magnoliopsida; Poales; Bromeliaceae. The record is from RNAcentral.
CCCCGCGAAACGGUACAUAAAAUAUCGCGACUUUUGCGAAGUUACCGUUUUGCCAUUACAGACCUCUCCUCGAUCAACGCGCAAUCUCUGCAGAUCCGUCCGUCAGAUUUGCGAACGGAUUGCACCAGUGCGAUCAGCACGACGGAGACAACAAAGCUACGAUUUCGUUUCACCACGAUCGACCACGGAUUCGCGACAAAAUCCAAUCUUUCUCGCCAACAGAGGAAACAACACGAAAAUACAUUUAAAACAUGUAUUUUUGUAUUUUCUCGAAAU